Molecule: transfer RNA, 75 nt
Filed under: uncultured Acidimicrobiales bacterium
Lineage: Bacteria; Bacillati; Actinomycetota; Acidimicrobiia; Acidimicrobiales
Description: tRNA-Asn-GTT
Rfam family: tRNA
About the family: Transfer RNA (tRNA) molecules are approximately 80 nucleotides in length. Their secondary structure includes four short double-helical elements and three loops (D, anti-codon, and T loops). Further hydrogen bonds mediate the characteristic L-shaped molecular structure. tRNAs have two regions of fundamental functional importance: the anti-codon, which is responsible for specific mRNA codon recognition, and the 3' end, to which the tRNAs corresponding amino acid is attached (by aminoacyl-tRNA synthetases). tRNAs cope with the degeneracy of the genetic code in two manners: having more than one tRNA (with a specific anti-codon) for a particular amino acid; and 'wobble' base-pairing, i.e. permitting non-standard base-pairing at the 3rd anti-codon position.
Source: RNAcentral
UCCGGGGUAGCUCAACGGCAGAGCAAACGGCUGUUAACCGUUAGGUUCUGGGUUCGAAUCCCAGCCCCGGAGCCA